CGGGUGAGCCGGGCGAUCGCUGGCUGCUCCUGGGACUCGGGUGACCGGGACACAGGACAAGCGGGAGGAAAGUCCGGACUCCGAUUGGGCAACGCGCCUGGUAACGCCAGGGGGCCGGUCCUUGGGAUUUGCGGGCGCAAGCUCGCGCCAGGGAACGCGGCUACGGAAAGUGCCACAGAAAAUAGACCGCCGGUGCGGCUUGCACCUCGGUGGCGGACUCGCGGUAAACCACGAGGCUGCCCUCAUUCGGUCAAGCGGUACUUGGCAAGGGUGAAAAGGUGGGGUAAGAGCCCACCGCCCCGUCAGUGAUGGCGGGGGCACGGAAAACCCCGCGUGGAGCAAGGCCAAAUAGGAGGGGAGGGCUGGCCCGGCCCGGAUGACGUCGCUUGCGAGAGCGGCGGCUGCGACCCUCGGGUAGGCUGCUGGAGUCCCGGAGCGAUCCGGGACCUAGAGGAAUGAUCGCCGCCUGCACGCGCGUUUCGAUGCAAAUCGAAGCGCGUCGCGCGUCGCACAGAAUCCGGCUUACAGGCUCACCCGCGUA
Molecule: RNase P RNA, 541 nt
Filed under: Acidobacteriota bacterium
Lineage: Bacteria; Pseudomonadati; Acidobacteriota
Description: RNase P RNA component class A
Rfam family: Bacterial RNase P class A
About the family: Ribonuclease P (RNase P) is a ubiquitous endoribonuclease, found in archaea, bacteria and eukarya as well as chloroplasts and mitochondria. Its best characterised activity is the generation of mature 5'-ends of tRNAs by cleaving the 5'-leader elements of precursor-tRNAs.
Source: RNAcentral